RNAcentral lists this ribosomal RNA (597 nucleotides) under Triticum aestivum (bread wheat). Its description in RNAcentral is "partial small subunit ribosomal RNA". Lineage: Eukaryota; Viridiplantae; Streptophyta; Magnoliopsida; Poales; Poaceae. The record is from RNAcentral.
ACAUCUCAAAAAAAAAAGGCCAGGGAGGGACCGUGCAACCGCAAACGCUUGCCCUUUCCUCCAAGAAAGAAACUAAAACUCCGGUCGAAAAAAAAGAGAGAGAAAGAAACGAAAACAACAGCCGGCCGAAGCCUCCGCUGCGCCGCCGCCGGUACAGGAGCCAAGCAGCGCCUCCCUUCGUCGAGCAGCAACGCCGCCGCCCGGAGCUACGCCGGCGACGAAUACAUAGGGCAUCAACAUUGUCAAUUGGAGAGGCUUGGAGCUGCUUUGGCAUCCACAGUAGAGCAAACAAGAAGUAUCGACAUGGAUUCCAGCACUACACAGUCUGAAGGUUCUCAGCCACCUGUUCCUCCUAAAAGCCCUACCAUGUCGUCGUGCCGGAAGAAGAAAACUGAUGAUGAUGCUACCUUCCUCAAAGAUGUGAAAGAGCACAUUGAUGAGUUCAUCCAUGCCUCCAUGGAUGAGCACAAGACCUGCUUCAAGAAGACCAUCCAGAAGAUGUUCGGGAUGUCAAAGGCUGUUGCGGAGCGGUCCGCUGCAGCAAAGGAAGCUGAAGUCGAAAGUGCUUUGCCUCUUGAGACCAGUGUGUCCCGGUAG